Molecule: unclassified non-coding RNA, 101 nt
Organism: Otolemur garnettii (small-eared galago)
Lineage: Eukaryota; Metazoa; Chordata; Mammalia; Primates; Galagidae
Rfam family: Y RNA
About the family: Y RNAs are components of the Ro ribonucleoprotein particle (Ro RNP), in association with Ro60 and La proteins.
Source: Ensembl
GACUGGUCCCAGCACAGUGGUGUUUACAACUAACUGAUCAUCACAGUCACACGUUUCUUAGUUCCUUCUCCAUGCCCUCUGCUUCACUUGACUAGCCUUGA